UACGGAGGGAGCUAGCGUUGUUCGGAAUUACUGGGCGUAAAGGGCGCGUAGGCGGCCAUUUAAGUCGGGGGUGAAAGCCUGUGGCUCAACCACAGAAUUGCCUUCGAUACUGGAUGGCUUGAGACCGGAAGAGGUAAGUGGAACUGCGAGUGUAGAGGUGAAAUUCGUAGAUAUUCGCAAGAACACCAGUGGCGAAGGCGGCUUACUGGUCCGGAUCUGACGCUGAGGCGCGAAAGCGUGGGGAGCAAACAGG
Molecule: ribosomal RNA, 253 nt
Filed under: uncultured bacterium
Lineage: Bacteria
Description: partial 16S ribosomal RNA
Rfam family: Bacterial small subunit ribosomal RNA
Source: RNAcentral